AUUGAACGCUGGCGGCAGGCCUAACACAUGCCAGUCGAGCGGAUGAAGGGAGCUUGCUCCUGGAUUCAGCGGCGGACGGGUGAGUAAUGCCUAGGAAUCUGCCUGGUAGUGGGGGAUAACGUCCGGAAACGGGCGCUAAUACCGCAUACGUCCUGAGGGAGAAAGUGGGGGAUCUUCGGACCUCACGCUAUCAGAUGAGCCUAGGUCGGAGUAGCUAGUUGGUGGGGUAAAGGCCUACCAAGGCGACGAUCCGUAACUGGUCUGAGAGGAUGAUCAGUCACACUGGAACUGAGACACGGUCCAGACUCCUACGGGAGGCAGCAGUGGGGAAUAUUGGACAAUGGGCGAAAGCCUGAUCCAGCCAUGCCGCGUGUGUGAAGAAGGUCUUCGGAUUGUAAAGCACUUUAAGUUGGGAGGAAGGGCAGUAAGUUAAUACCUUGCUGUUUUGACGUUACCAACAGAAUAAGCACCGGCUAACUUCGUG
This 484-nucleotide ribosomal RNA is filed under the name uncultured bacterium. RNAcentral describes it as "partial 16S ribosomal RNA". It matches the Rfam family "Bacterial small subunit ribosomal RNA", at positions 30 to 507 of the family's 1533-position model. The record is from RNAcentral.